GGAUAUUGCUAUAUGGUCCUCCUGGAUGCGGGAAGACACUGAUUGCUAAGGCAGUUGCAAAUGAGGCAGGAGCCAAUUUUAUUCAUAUUAAGGGUCCUGAGCUCCUAAAUAAAUAUGUCGGAGAAAGUGAACUUGCAAUUCGAACAUUGUUCAGUCGGGCGAGGACAUGCUCUCCAUGCAUUCUUUUCUUUGAUGAAGUGGAUGCUUUAACAACAAAACGUGGUCAAGAAGGGGGAUGGGUUGUAGAGAGAUUGCUGAACCAGGUUCUUUUCUGAUAGAGUU
This 282-nucleotide unclassified non-coding RNA is filed under the name Hevea brasiliensis (rubber tree). The record is from RNAcentral. Lineage: Eukaryota; Viridiplantae; Streptophyta; Magnoliopsida; Malpighiales; Euphorbiaceae.